GAUGAAGAACGUAGCGAAAUGCGAUACGUAGUGUGAAUUGCAGAAUUGAGUGAAUCAUCGAGUCUUUGAACGCACAUUGCACCUCUCGGUAUUCCGGGAGGUAUGCCUGUUCGAGCGUCAUUUGUACCCUCAAGCUCUGCUUGGUGUUGGGUGUUUGUUCCGCCUCUGUAUGUGAACUCGCCUCAAAACAAUUGGCAGCCGGCGUACUUGUUUCGGAGCGCAGCACAUUUUGCGAUCCAGAUCAACGUACAGCGGCAUCCAAGAAGCCUUAUUUAACGCUCUUGACCUCGGAUCAGGUAGGGAUACCCGCUGAACUUAAGCAUAUCAAUAAGCGGAGGA
This 339-nucleotide unclassified non-coding RNA is filed under the name soil metagenome. Its description in RNAcentral is "partial contains 5.8S ribosomal RNA, internal transcribed spacer 2, and large subunit ribosomal RNA". The stretch from base 1 to 120 matches the Rfam family "5.8S ribosomal RNA", at positions 35 to 154 of the family's 154-position model. The record is from RNAcentral.